UGACCUCGGAUCAGGUAGGGAUACCCGCUGAACUUAAGCAUAUCAAUAAGCGGAGGAAAAGAAACCAACCGGGAUUGCCUCAGUAACUGCGAGUGAAGUGGCAAAAGCUCAAAUUUGAAAUCCGGUGCCUCUUGGUGCCUGAGUUGUAAUUUGGAGAGACAAAUUUGUUUGAUGGCGCCGGCCUAGGUUCCUUUGAACAGGACAACAUAGAGGGUGAGAAUCCCGUUCCUGGCCGGAUGUUCUGUCAUAUAUCUAAAUUGUCUUCGACGAGUCGAGUUGUUUGGGAAUGCAGCUCAAAAUGGGUGGUAAAUGUCAUCUAAAGCUAAAUAUUGGCGAGAGACCGAUAGCGCACAAGUAGAGUGAUCGAAAGAUGAAAAGCACUUUGAAAAGAGAGUCAAAAAGUACGUGAAAUUGCUGAAAGGGAAGCGCUUGAGACCAGACUCGAACCGUGGUGAUCAGCCGUGCUUCUGUGCGGUGUCACUUGCCACGGUUUGGGCCAGCAUCGGUUCUGGCGGUCGGAUAAAAGGUGGAGGAAUGUAGCUUCCUUCUGGGAGUGUUAAUUUAGCCACCACCACAAUGCGGCCAGCCGGGACCGAGGACCGCGCCUUCUUUGGCUAGGAUGCUGGCGUAAUGGUCUUAAGCGACCCGUCUUGA
This 654-nucleotide ribosomal RNA is filed under the name Genea hispidula. RNAcentral's name for it is "eukaryotic LSU rRNA". It matches the Rfam family "Eukaryotic large subunit ribosomal RNA", at positions 1 to 657 of the family's 3401-position model. Lineage: Eukaryota; Fungi; Ascomycota; Pezizomycetes; Pezizales; Pyronemataceae. The record is from RNAcentral.